RNAcentral lists this ribosomal RNA (477 nucleotides) under Isognomon cf. ephippium IT-2010. RNAcentral describes it as "partial 16S ribosomal RNA". It matches the Rfam family "Bacterial large subunit ribosomal RNA", at positions 1829 to 2597 of the family's 2925-position model. Lineage: Eukaryota; Metazoa; Mollusca; Bivalvia; Pterioida; Isognomonidae. The record is from RNAcentral.
UUCCGGGUGAAACUGAUACUCGGUAAGCACUGCCCGGUGCAUUACGGUGUUAACGGUGGUCGACGGGCUUUAAUGUAGCAAAAUCCAUAGCCGUUUAAUUGGCGAGCGCGCAUGAAGUGUCAACGAGGGAACGACUGUCUCUAGCAUGUGCUUAUGAAAUAGAAAUCCAAGUGCAAUUGCUUGGAUGGCUUUAAAAGACGAGAAGACCCCGCGUAGCUUUAUAUAAGCACUAAAUGAUUAGUGUGAUUGUUUAGUUGGGGCAACGGGGGAAUAGACGAAACUUCCCUGAAACAAUCUUAAACUGGCAGGUAAUGAUCCAGAAAUGUGGCCGAACGAAGGAUGAGUUACACCGGGGAUAACAGCGCGCUUCUGGAAUUGAGGCCAUAUUGGUUCCAGAGUUUGCGACCUCGAUGUUGAAUCAGGGAGAGCCUAGGUGCAGCCGCUUAGGUGUCGGGUCUGUUCGACCUUUAAAUUCCU